UCUGGUGACCAUAGGUGCAGGGAAACACACGUUCCCUUCUCGAACACGCUCGUUAAGCCU
RNAcentral lists this ribosomal RNA (60 nucleotides) under Opitutales bacterium. Lineage: Bacteria; Pseudomonadati; Verrucomicrobiota; Opitutia; Opitutales. The record is from RNAcentral.